RNAcentral lists this small RNA (786 nucleotides) under Pan troglodytes (chimpanzee). Its description in RNAcentral is "retained intron". Lineage: Eukaryota; Metazoa; Chordata; Mammalia; Primates; Hominidae. The record is from RNAcentral.
CUAGCUACCUCUGAGUUGCGCUGGGCUUGGCUGCUGCACCAUGACCCUGGAGGCGAUCCGCUACUCGCGGGGCUCCCUGCAGAUCCUAGACCAGCUGCUGCUGCCCCAGCAGAGCCGCUACGAGGCGGUGGGCUCGGUGCACCAGGCCUGGGAGGCCAUCCGCGCCAUGAAGGUGCGGGGCGCCCCGGCCAUAGCCCUGGUGGGCUGUCUCAGCCUCGCCGUGGAGCUGCAGGCGGGCGCCGGGGGACCGGGACUCGCCGCGCUCGUGGCCUUCGUGCGCGACAAGCUGAGCUUCCUCGUCACCGCCCGGCCCACCGCUGUCAACAUGGCCCGCGCCGCCCGCGACCUGGCUGAUGUUGCAGCCCGGGAGGCCGAACGGGAGGGCGCUACGGAAGAGGCGGUCCGGGAGAGAGUGAUCUGCUGCACCGAGGACAUGCUGCAGAAAGACCUCAGAGACAACCGAAGCAUUGGGGACCUAGGAGCCCGCCACCUCCUGGAGCGGGUGGCCCCCAGCGGUGGCAAGGUGACUGUGCUGACCCACUGUAACACUGGUGCUCUGGCCACCGCUGGCUAUGGUACAGCCCUAGAUGUGAAACGGAGCUAUGCGAGCAUUGGGAAGAGCAUACCAGGCAGAGGGAACUGCCACUGCGAGGGCCCCUGGGUGGGACUGUGCUCGGUAAGCCUUUCGCAAUCCACGCCCAGACUAGGAGCCUGCACCCCUAACCAAUGGACCACCCUGUCUGUUUGCCCCUCCCCGGGGCCUUCUCCUGGUGGGUGGGGCCCCCG